RNAcentral lists this ribosomal RNA (1917 nucleotides) under Rhysida nuda. Its description in RNAcentral is "eukaryotic LSU rRNA". It matches the Rfam family "Eukaryotic large subunit ribosomal RNA", at positions 43 to 1897 of the family's 3401-position model. The record is from RNAcentral. Lineage: Eukaryota; Metazoa; Arthropoda; Chilopoda; Scolopendromorpha; Scolopendridae.
UAAGUAAGCGGAGGAAAAGAAACUAACGAGGAUUCCCCCAGUAACAGCGAGUGAAUGGUGAAGAGCCCUGCGCCGAAGCCCCCGUCUCCACUGGACGGCGGGCAAUGUGGCGUGUGGGGCCACUGCCCGUGGCGGGUGCAAGGCCCGUUUGGCUUCUCGUCGCGUCUGCCUGUCGGCUCUCUCCCUGGAGUCGGGUUGCUUGAGAGUGCAGCCCUAAGUGGGUGGUAAACUCCACCGAAGGCUAAAUACUUCCACGAGACCGAUAGCAAACAAGUACCGUGAGAGAAAGUUGCAAGGAACUUUGAAGAGAGUUCAAGAGUAUGUGAAACUGAUCGGGUGCAAACGGGUGGGCCCUCGAAGGUCAAACGGGGGGGAUUCAACUUGUCCGCAGAAAGAAAGCCGUUGUCCGUGGCGGAAGCCCGGCAACGACAGCGGGCGGGCGCACUUCCACCACAGUAGGACGCCGCGACCGGUCGCGUCGCUUGAAAAAGGCGGUCUUGCGGCAGGAUGACGGCAGGUAUCCGUUGCGGACGUGCCCUCUACACCCUCGCGGUGGAAGGCUGUCGUUCGGAGUUACAGCCAGUCCUUGCUUCGUCCACUGCCCGACCGAUGUCAGCGGCGAGUAGGUCGGUCGCCCACCCGACCCGUCUUGAAACACGGACCAAGGAGUCUAACACGUGCGCGAGUCACAGGGUAACUCGCACGAACGCACGAAACCCUAAGGCGAAAUGAAAGUGAAGGUCGGGCACAGCCCCGUCCGAGGCAGGAUGCGUCCGGGUGAGCGAAGCUCUUCUUCCCUUCGCGGGUUCGUCCCGCGGGGGAGCUCGGCGCCGCACUGCCAGCCCAUCUCGGCCGCUUCCCGUCGGCGAGGUGGAGCCAGAGCGCACACGUUGGGACCCGAAAGAUGGUGAACUAUGCUCGGGCAGGACGAAGCCAGAGGAAACUCUGGUGGAGGUCCGUAGCGAUUCUGACGUGCAAAUCGAUCGUCGGACCCGAGUAUAGGGGCGAAAGACUAAUCGAACCGUCUAGUAGCUGGUUCCCUCCGAAGUUUCCCUCAGGAUAGCUGGUGCUCGGAGAGGAACGCAGUCUCAUCCGGUAAAGCGAAUGAUUAGAGGCCUUGGGGCCGAAACGACCUCAACCUAUUCUCAAACUUUCAAUGGGUGAGAAGUCCGGCUUGCUCGACUGAAGCCCGGACCUCACGACCAUAAGUUGAUCGUAAAACGUAUAACGAACGGGUCCGCCCGUUCGAGACGGAUGCGAGUGCCCAGUGGGCCAUUUUUGGUAAGCAGAACUGGCGCUGUGGGAUGAACCAAACGCCGGGUUACGGCGCCCGAUGCGGACGCUCAUCAGACCCCAUGAAAGGUGUUGGUUGCUAUAGACAGCAGGACGGUGGCCAUGGAAGUCGGAANNNNNNNNNNNNNNNNNNNNNNNNUUCCAUGUGAACAGCAGUUGAACAUGGGUCAGUCGGCCCUAAGGAAUAGGGGAAACCCGUUCCGAACCGGGGUGUCGUGAAAAACAGAGACCAACACGGCACUCGUUUAAAAACUGUAAAAAAUGAGAACCGAAAACAAAAUCCGAAAACGACCCCGAUGGCCCGAAAGGGAAUCGGGUUAAUAUUCCCGAACCCGGAUGCGGAGAUCGGACCCUCCUGGGUCCGAUGCGGUAACGCAAACGAACUCGGAGACGUCGGCGGGAGUCCCGGGAAGAGUUGUCUUUUCUUUGUAAGGGACGGACUCCCUGGAAUCGGCUCGCCCGGAGAGAGGGAUGUUGUUCCCGUAAAGCACCGCGGCUCUUGCGGUGUCCGGAGCGCUCCCGCCGGCCCUUGAAAAUCCGAGGGAGAGAACUAGAUUUUCGCACCGGACCGUACCCAUAUCCGCAGCAGGUCUCCAAGGUGAACAGCCUCUAGUCGAUAGAACA